RNAcentral lists this ribosomal RNA (253 nucleotides) under uncultured bacterium. RNAcentral's name for it is "partial 16S ribosomal RNA". It matches the Rfam family "Bacterial small subunit ribosomal RNA", at positions 524 to 776 of the family's 1533-position model. The record is from RNAcentral.
GACGAACUGUCCUAACGUCGUUCGGAAUUAUUGGGCGUAAAGGGUGCGUAGGCGGUGCGGUAAGUCUGUUGUGAAAUCUCCGGGCUCAACUCGGAGUCUGCAUCAGAAACUGCCGUGCUGGAGUGUGGGAGAGGUGAGUGGAAUUCCCGGUGUAGCGGUGAAAUGCGUAGAGAUCGGGAGGAACACCUGCGGCGAAAGCGGCUCACUGGACCAUAACUGACGCUGAUGCACGAAAGCUAGGGGAGCAAACAGG